AUACUCUCAGAUUUUGUUCACUCGAGUUCUCUCACCGGCUCUCGGGACUCAGAAGCUCACCAUUUCACUGUCAGAACUCCGCUCAGGAGCUCAGAAGUAAGUCUCAAAUUCUUAAUUUCACGAUUUCACUGCGACGUUUGGGUUUGAUUUAUGAGAAAACUCUCGUGAAUUUCAACCUAAGUUGACGAUUUCCUCAUUUGUUACUGGGCUCAAUUAUUUUUAUGGUUUGAAAUUUCUGAAUUUCAAGUUGAAAUUUUCAACGUAGUUACUUGGUUUGGGGCUUUUGGUUUAGUUCCUAGAACUUAGAAGGUUCAGCACUGCACUCACUGGCUCACAUUUUACUCUCUUCUCAGAAGCUCAGUAGUCCGCUUAGUCGCUCACUGCCUCGAUUUCACUCUCAGAAGCUCACGAUUUCUCUCUCAGAAUCAGAACUCUUCUCAGGUGCUCACGAUUUCUCAUUCUCUGCUACUGGUAAGUCUAAAUUACACUUUUAAUUUCACAAUUUCACUGUGACGUUUUGAUUUCAUUUAUGAGAAAACUACAGUUGAAUUGGCAUAUAAUUUGGCUUUCCCCUUUUUUUUUGUGUGGGAAAUCAUUUACUUGAUUAAGUAGUUAUUAUUUUGUUGACUUGAGUAUAACUAUCAGUACUAUGUUUGGACUUAAUUUUCUGUUUGUGCUAGAAAAUUUUCAAGUUGUGUGACAUGGUGACAGCUUAAUAUACAAAUUGUGAUGCUACAGUGGUGCAGCUUGUAGUGCUGCUGUUUUAUUUAGUUAUUUUGAUAUGAUAUUUGUGUUGAGCUGCUUGUGGUGCAACUUGUAGCCUUGUUGUGUUGUUACUGUUGUUAGGAACUUGAUAAAUUAGGAAGCAUACAAGGCUUGUAGUGUUAUUGUGUUGUUACUGUUGUAGCUGCUGAUUAGCCUGAUUGAAUGGCUAUAAUCUAUAUCGUAGUGUUGUUGUGUUGCUCCCUUUCUUUUCCUCUGGUCCUUAUAUAAUUAUCUCUUCCCCAUUUAGUGGAUGUUGCAAGGAAGAUUUCUUCCACGAUGUUACAAUGGAUGGGUGGGUCAAGGAGGAAAGUUGAUACUGUAAGUGUCAAAUUACUUAUUAAUCUGGAGAUUUACUUGCAUAUUUCUGAAUUUGGAGGCUGGAAGCACAAUUGAGCAAAUUUGAAAUUAGGUAGAACUACAGCUCAUUAGUGUGGUUUGUUAGUUGAUCUCUAGUAAUGCAUGUCUCUCAUGAUGGUAAUGGAUUUUAAUGUAAAGUUGUGGUUAAUACAGUCCAAAUGUAAUGCAUGUCUUUUGAGUCUUGAGAUGGUAAUGGAUUUUAAUGUAUAUUGUGGUUAAUACUGUUCAAAUGAGGAGUUACAUAAAAGUAUAUUAAAAGAUGAAGAUCACCCUUUAGAGAUUAGGAGCUCAAGCAUAUUCCUAGAGGAAAUGAAAAUAUUCUUAAUCCAUGUAGUCCUAGCCUAAAUCUUCUUUUGAAAAAAGCUAACCUCCCACACUUUCUCUAUGCGAGUUUAAUUUUGUACAAACCAGUUUGCAGGUUUGUUGUGAUAACAUUCAGCUUACUCCACCCCCCAAAAUUAAAUAUAAAAAAGGCAAUAAGAAAUAGAACAUUCAUCUUCUGUUGAAGGCUAUCAACUUGUUCUUGUGGAAGUUUAAUUUGUUCCCAUUGUUUUUAAAGAUUUAAUCUUAUUGUGCUUUGGGAAAUGUUUUCAUACUGACAUUUUCUCUUGUGAUUUGUAUUAUCCUUUUGCGGGAUGGAAAAACAUCAGUCAAGAAGGUCAACACAGAAAAGGUAUUAAAAUAUCACCCAUCAGUCUUUAUUUGAUUGGAUAAUUGUUGUAGCUUUACUCAACGUGAACAUAGGUCAUCAUUCUUUGAUACUGUUGUCCUAACUUCCAAUAUGUAGAGAUUUAGACUAAGGGAAUCUUAGUAGCUUAGUUGGUUGGCUAUUUGAACUCCCACCUUGUUGGUGAGGAUUCAAUUCCCCAUAUUGUAAUCCCCUCUCCCAUUUCCCCUUUCCC
Molecule: long non-coding RNA, 2024 nt
Filed under: Solanum tuberosum (potato)
Lineage: Eukaryota; Viridiplantae; Streptophyta; Magnoliopsida; Solanales; Solanaceae
Description: long non-coding RNA (STUB_LNC008802)
Source: RNAcentral